UACGUAGGGGGCAAGCGUUGUCCGGAUUUAUUGGGCGUAAAGAGCGUGUAGGCGGUUAGGUAGGUCCGUUGUGAAAACUCGAGGCUCAACCUCGAGACGCCGAUGGAAACCAUCUGACUAGAGUCCGGAAGAGGAGAGUGGAAUUCCGAGUGUAGAGGUGAAAUUCGUAGAUAUUCGGAAGAACACCAGUGGCGAAGGCGACUUACUGGACACAUAUUGACGCUGAGGUGCGAAAGCGUGGGGAGCAAACAGG
This 253-nucleotide ribosomal RNA is filed under the name uncultured bacterium. RNAcentral's name for it is "partial 16S ribosomal RNA". It matches the Rfam family "Bacterial small subunit ribosomal RNA", at positions 524 to 776 of the family's 1533-position model. The record is from RNAcentral.